UACCAGCACCCCGAGUGGUCGGGACGUUUAUUGGGCCUAAAGCAUCCGUAGCCGGUUCUACAAGUCUUCCGUUAAAUCCACCUGCUUAACAGAUGGGCUGCGGAAGAUACUAUAGAGCUAGGAGGCGGGAGAGGCAAGAGGUACUCGAUGGGUAGGGGUAAAAUCCGUUGAUCCAUUGAAGACCACCAGUGGCGAAGGCGGCUUGCCAGAACGCGCUCGACGGUGAGGGAUGAAAGCUGGGGGAGCAAACCGG
This 253-nucleotide ribosomal RNA is filed under the name uncultured bacterium. RNAcentral's name for it is "partial 16S ribosomal RNA". It matches the Rfam family "Archaeal small subunit ribosomal RNA", at positions 474 to 727 of the family's 1478-position model. The record is from RNAcentral.